Molecule: ribosomal RNA, 324 nt
Filed under: uncultured eukaryote
Lineage: Eukaryota
Description: partial 18S ribosomal RNA
Rfam family: Eukaryotic small subunit ribosomal RNA
Source: RNAcentral
CCCUUAGAUGUUCUGGGCCGCACGCGCGCUACACUGAUGCAUUCAACGAGUUUCUUCCUGGUCCGAGAGGAAUGGGUAACCUUUUGAAAGUGCAUCGUGAUAGGGAUAGCCUAUUGCAAUUAUUGGUCUUCAACGAGGAAUUCCUAGUAGACGUAGUUCAUCAGACUGCAUCGAUUACGUCCCUGCCCUUUGUACACACCGCCCGUCGCUCCUACCGAUUGAAUGCUCAGGUGAGCCAUUCGGACUUUCAUCAUGCUGGUUUCCAGUUUUGAUGAAGGAAAGUCUUGCGAACCUUAUCAUUUAGAGGAAGGAGAAGUCGUAACA